CUAUGACUGUGGACAAUGCUGGCCUGGGAUAAGGGGAAGGCCGCUGGGGCAUCUGCCAUUCACCAAGGAAAUAGCCCACCCUCUGCAGCCCUAUGACUAUCUCACCCAGCAGGUUCUCUGGCCAGCCCCGCCCCCAGGAGGCAGGCCCCAGGUGCUGGCCCCAUGGCUUUUGGUCUGAGUCUCAGUCACCGUGGUUUGUCUUUGGUAGAGGAACCCAGCUCACUGUCCUAGGUCAACCCAAGGCUGCCCCAUCAGUCACCCUAUUUCCACCUUCCUCUGAAGAGCUCCAGACCAACAAGGCCACAUUAGUGUGUCUGAUAAAUGACUUCUACCCAGACACCAUGACUGUGGUCUGGAAGGCAGAUGGCACCCUUAUUACCCAGGGUGUGGAGACCACCCAGCCCUCCAAACAGAGCAAUAACAAGUACAAGGCCAGCAGUUACCUGACCCUGAUGCCCAACCAGUGGAGAUCUCAAAAAAGAUACAGUUGCCAGGUCACACAUGAAGGGAGCAUCGUGGAGAAGAGUGUGUCUGCUGCAGAAUGUUCUUAGGUCCA
Heterocephalus glaber (naked mole-rat) is the source of this 556-nucleotide non-coding RNA. The record is from the annotation of a RefSeq genome assembly. Lineage: Eukaryota; Metazoa; Chordata; Mammalia; Rodentia; Bathyergidae.